AACCCACAGUGAGGGCACCUUCUCAAUAAGUCUUUAUACCUCUCCCAUGCAUCAUAAAGGGUUUCUAAAUCCAUUUGCACGAAGGAAAAGAUGUCAUUCCUCAGCUU
Molecule: non-coding RNA, 107 nt
Organism: Gossypium arboreum
Lineage: Eukaryota; Viridiplantae; Streptophyta; Magnoliopsida; Malvales; Malvaceae
Source: Rfam